CGGAAAUCAGCACAGAUCCAGGAAUUGCAGCGGCGGCCCGAGCUGUCGCCCGCGGUGCCGUCAGCACCCGCAGCCUCCUCCAACGCCCCCCGGUCCCGGGGCAGGGCUCGGGAGCUCCCCAGCUGCCGGGGCCGGCCCCGGGGAGGGCCGAAGCGGGCGGUGAGGGCGGCUCUGAAGGCAGGGGCGGCCCCGGCCCCUCCUGAGGCGCGGUGGCUGCGUCCCGCUCGCGUUCCCGGGCAGGGACAUGGCGUGGUCCGCUCCCAUCGCCGGCCCCGGCGGGGGAGGCAGAGAGACACCGGCGGCUCCACGGGGCUGGCCUCGCUCUCAGUUCCACCUUACCCCGCUCCGGGUACGCCGUGCGGCUCGGUGCGGGCACGUCCCCGAGUGGGCGGGCUCGGUCUCCUCGGCUCCGCCCGGCCGGCCGCCGGCGGUGUCCCCCGCGCAGGGAAUGGUUUGUCCCUGCCUCUCAGCCCUACGCUCCCGCUCCACCUCCCGCUAGUGCCCGGCUCGGCGGGCGGCGGAGCGGGUUGCGCUGCUCGGGGAGGGGGGCUCCGCCGCACCGCCCCUCACAUCACCGCGCCGCCCGUGGGGUGCCCCCCGAGAGGAGCCCCCCGAGAGGAGCGCGGUGCCGGGGCCGCCCCGCCAGGUAACGGUGAGGGGAGCCGCGGGGCGCCUGCAUCCCCCCCUCCGCCCGCGCCGCCCCUGCCGGCGGCCGCUUACCCGCCGCCUCUCCUCAGCCCCCUGCCCGGCGGCAGGCGGGGGGGCUCCGCCGACAGCUGGGCUGCUGUCCCCGGGGAGAGGCGGCGGAGCGGGGCGGCUGCCCGCCGUGAUUCAGCAUCGCCGCCUGGGCGGGAGGAUGAGGAAGGGGGGGAGGGGGGGGGGGGGGGAGGGGGGGGGGGAGCGGGCGUCAGGGGUGAGAGCGUGGGGGGACCGGGGAGCGAGCGGCGGAGCGGGGGGUGUGCCCUCGGGGUUGGUGCUCUCGGGCUUUGCAGCCGCAGUCCGGCAUCUCUAACGGGGGGCUGGCUGGCUGGGGCCAAAUAG
Molecule: long non-coding RNA, 1041 nt
Filed under: Anas platyrhynchos platyrhynchos (common mallard)
Lineage: Eukaryota; Metazoa; Chordata; Aves; Anseriformes; Anatidae
Description: lncRNA (ENSAPLG00000028671.1)
Source: RNAcentral